RNAcentral lists this long non-coding RNA (886 nucleotides) under Homo sapiens (human). RNAcentral's name for it is "long non-coding RNA NONHSAT171889.1". The record is from RNAcentral. Lineage: Eukaryota; Metazoa; Chordata; Mammalia; Primates; Hominidae.
UGUGGACACUUCCUUUAAGAACAGUAUUGAUAGACUGCCUUUAUGCAAAUCCCUUUGGAAGAAAGGAUGGAGAGGAAGAAGCCGGAAACAGAUGAGAGGCAGGAAAUACCAAAUUGCAUGUUUAUAAAUGCUGUGAAGGAAUAUGGCAAGAGGGGAUAAUGCUAGACUGGCGGCCAUGGAAACUGAAGUCUUCUGUUUGUUCACAGGACGGCUCAUAGCCCUGAAAGUCCCAGUUCAAGCUUCCACAAUCAUCCUACACAAGAGCACUGCUUCUCACAGGACUGCCUCAGCCUGGCAGGAUUCAGUCUCCUGCUCUGAGGGAAAAACAGGAAGUCAAGGAUCAAGACCGAGUGCUCAACUGAGAUCAGAAAGGAGGACACACAGUGACUUGGCCAAAUCACUGGAGAUUCACACAGCAGAGCUCAGACGAGUGCUAUCAGCACAGCUGAGGAAGACAACAGUUAGCUGCUUUCAAGAAGAAAGAAGUGGUAGUACAAUACAAUCUCAGCAUUCUGUAAUCUGGCUUGAAUGUGACGGUGCAAGGAUCCUGAAAGAGAAACAUUGGUUGUGUUUUUAUUCCUUGGGUAUAAGAAUCCUGAAAGAGAAAGGCAUCUGAACCUUGGAGGCAUGGGGUUCAUCUCAUCCUCAUCCAGCCUGUGAUGAUGGAGCUGUUUUCACCAGAAACGUGAGGAGACUCAUACCACUUGAGGUAGUGUGGAUGUGUGGCACAGUUUUGGAGAGGGCUAUUCCCCUACCUUUACAUGGAAUCCAGUAACUCUCUGAAAACAUAGCAAUGGCAAAAGUCCUUUUCGAGACUGCAAGGAAAACAAACAACUACCAAGAGAAGUCCAAGCAUCAGGGAAAGAAUGAAGUGGUGUGGAGACCA